Molecule: small RNA, 552 nt
Filed under: Pan troglodytes (chimpanzee)
Lineage: Eukaryota; Metazoa; Chordata; Mammalia; Primates; Hominidae
Description: processed transcript
Source: RNAcentral
UGCACUCACAGGGAGGAGGAGGCGGCAGCGGCGGAGGAAGGCGGCGCACCCCGAGAGGCAUGCCCAAAGAAAAGUACGAGCCCCCUGACCCUCGGAGGAUGUAUACAAUUAUGUCUUCUGAGGAAGCAGCAAAUGGAAAGAAAUCCCACUGGGCAGAGCUUGAAAUAAGUGGAAAAGUCAGAAGCUUAAGCGCAUCUUUGUGGUCACUAACUCACCUGACAGCUUUGCAUUUGAGUGACAAUUCCCUGUCCCGAAUUCCUUCAGACAUUGCCAAGCUUCACAAUCUGGUGUAUUUGGACCUGUCAUCUAAUAAAAUUCGUAGCUUACCCGCAGAACUCGGAAACAUGGUAUCACUCAGGAAAUCCCCUUACCCAGGAUAUAUUGAACCUUUAUCAGGAACCAGAUGGAACAAGACGGCUGCUGAACUAUUUGCUUGAUAAUUUGUCAGGUACUGCAAAAAGAAGUAAGUGGUUAUUUGUUUAAACCUUUUUAUUAGGAAGACGUGUAAGAAUAUUGCUUAAUUCUGUAUUUUCUAUUCAACUAGUUACAACA